This 254-nucleotide ribosomal RNA is filed under the name uncultured bacterium. Its description in RNAcentral is "partial 16S ribosomal RNA". It matches the Rfam family "Bacterial small subunit ribosomal RNA", at positions 524 to 776 of the family's 1533-position model. The record is from RNAcentral.
UACAGAGGGCGCGAGCGUUGUCCGGAAUCACUGGGCGUAAAGGGCGCGUAGGUGGCCACUAUAAGGCCGCGGUGAAAGUUCGGGGCUCAACCCUGAAUCUGCCGCGGCGACUGUAGGGCUUGGGCACUGUAGAGGCAGAUGGAAUUCCGGGUGUAGCGGUGGAAUGCGUAGAGAUGUGGAGGAACACCGAUGGCGAAGGCAGCCCCCUGGGCUAACACUGACGCUCAUGCACGAAAGCGUGGGGAGCAAACAGG